AACGAACGCUGGCGGCGCGCCUAAUACAUGCAAGUCGAGCGAGAAGACGUAGCAAUACGUUUGUAAAGCGGCGAACGGGUGAGGAAUACAUGGGUAACCUACCCUCGAGUGGGGAAGUAACUAGCCGAAAGGUUAGCUAAUACCGCGUACGCUCCUUGGACUUCGGUUCAGGGAGGAAAGCGAUACCGUGGGUAUCGCGCUCUUGGAUGGGCUCAUGUCCUAUCAGCUUGUUGGUGAGGAACGGCUCACCAAGGCUUCGACGGGUAGCUGGUCUGAGAGGACGAUCAGCCACACUGGCACUGCGACACGGGCCAGACUCCUACGGGAGGCAGCAGUAAGGAAUAUUGCGCAAUGGGCGAAAGCCUGACGCAGCGACGCCGCGUGGGGGAUGAAGGUCUUCGGAUUGUAAACCCCUUUCGGGNGGGAGGAUGGAACGAGCAAUCGUUCGGCGGUACCUCCAGAAGCAGCCACGGCUAACUUCGUGCCAGCCGCCGCCGUAAU
This 501-nucleotide ribosomal RNA is filed under the name uncultured bacterium. RNAcentral's name for it is "bacterial SSU rRNA". It matches the Rfam family "Bacterial small subunit ribosomal RNA", at positions 29 to 524 of the family's 1533-position model. The record is from RNAcentral.